GAUGAACGCUGGCGGCGUGCCUAAUACAUGCAAGUCGAGCGGACGGACGAGAAGCUUGCUUGUCUGAUGUUAGCGGCGCACGGGAGAGUAACACGUGGAUAACCUACCUAUAAGACUGGGAAAACCUCGGGAAACCGGCGCUAAUACCGGAGAAUAUUUUGAACCGCAGGGUUCAAAGGUGAAAGUCGGUCUUGCUGGCACUUAUAGCUGGAUCCGCGCUGCAUUAGCUAGUUGGUAAGGUAACGGCCUACCAAGGCAACUAUGCAUAGCCGACCUGAGAGGGUGAUAGCCCACACGGGAACUGAGACACGGUCCAGACGCCUACGGGAGGCAGCAGUAGGGAAUCUGACGCAAUGGGCGAGAGCCUGACGGAGCAACGCCGCGUGAGUGAUGAAGGUCUUCGGAUCGUAAUACCCUGUUACUAGUGAAGAACAUAUGUGUAAGUAACUGUGGACAUCGUGACGGUACCUAAUCAGAAAGCCACGGCUAACUACGUG
RNAcentral lists this ribosomal RNA (497 nucleotides) under uncultured bacterium. RNAcentral's name for it is "partial 16S ribosomal RNA". It matches the Rfam family "Bacterial small subunit ribosomal RNA", at positions 28 to 507 of the family's 1533-position model. The record is from RNAcentral.